Ornithorhynchus anatinus (platypus) is the source of this 135-nucleotide small nucleolar RNA. The record is from RefSeq and is a predicted model, not a curated record. NCBI's taxonomy places the organism in Eukaryota, Metazoa, Chordata, Mammalia, Monotremata, Ornithorhynchidae.
CCCCUCUCAGGGUCACAGCUGGAGAGUUCCUACUCUACCAGUCUUGACUACAGGAGAGAGAGUCAGGCAGAGGCAUAGCCAUUCCAUUCCUAGCUUGGGAAGAGGCUAGCGAGUGGAAGGCGAUCUGCUACAAGU